GUGGGGAAUCUUGGACAAUGGGCGCAAGCCUGAUCCAGCCAUGCCGCGUGAGUGAAGAAGGCCUUCGGGUUGUAAAGCUCUUUUGUCAGGGACGAUAAUGACGGUACCUGAAGAAUAAGCCCCGGCAAACUUCGUGCCAGCAGCCGCGGUAAUACGAAGGGGGCUAGCGUUGUUCGGAAUUACUGGGCGUAAAGCGCACGUAGGCUGACAUUUAAGUCAGGGGUGAAAUCCCGAGGCUCAACCUCGGAACUGCCCUUGAUACUGGGUGUCUCGAGUCCGGAAGAGGUUAGUGGAAUUCCCAGUGUAGAGGUGAAAUUCGUAGAUAUUGGGAAGAACACCAGUGGCGAAGGCGGCUAACUGGUCCGGUACUGACGCUGAGGUGCGAAAGCGUGGGGAGCAAACAGGAUUAGAAACCCUUGUAGUCC
RNAcentral lists this ribosomal RNA (425 nucleotides) under uncultured bacterium. Its description in RNAcentral is "bacterial SSU rRNA". It matches the Rfam family "Bacterial small subunit ribosomal RNA", at positions 354 to 796 of the family's 1533-position model. The record is from RNAcentral.